AAAAAUGACCUAUGAAAAACAGGUCCUAAUACUGCCAUAUUUCGUUUUAUAUAUCUCUGUGAAGCUGACUCUAGUUUGGUGGAAACCAUUUCUUUUGUGUAUACAACAGUUACAGACAGUAAACACUGAUUGACUUUAAGAAUCAUGACAGUUGUUGUAGUUUUAAAAAUGUGCAUUGUAAGUAACUCUAGAGCCAAGAAUUACCAAAGAAAUUAUAAUCUUCAUAGGUAAGGAUGUCAGUAAAUACAUAUACAUAUUUACUAGUACAUAUACACAUACAGCACUUAACGCUUAUAAGGGUAUGAGGAUUAAAUGAAUUAGAAUAGCAUGUUGUACAUCAUAUUCAACAUGUGUUGGCCAGUAUAUUACUAUUUUCAUUGUGGAGCAAUACAGAAAUGCUUGGACAACUGCUGCUUCUUUGUUAGGUUUAAAGUAUUCAUAUUUUGAUAAUACAUGUGUCAAGUAAAAAUACCUUAACACUUUGCUACAUAUACCAUUUCUUAACAGUACAGAAAAUAUCUGCAGAGGCCACUGAGAGGGGCUAAAAAAACACACACACAAACUUUUCCUCCCAGCUUCCAAAUUCUUAUAGCUGGGUUAAUAAUCAAAUUAAGAGACAGAUUAACAAGAGAAAAUCAAAUUUUAAUACAUGCACAUGGGGAAUUCACAAUAAGCAUAAAAAUUCCAAAGACAGUGAGGCAAAAUUGGGUAUAUAGGUCAUUUUGGACAAAAGAGAAAGGAGGGUAUGGGAGCUUAGAUUUCAAAAGUGAGAAUGGGCCACUUACAAGUGAUUGAGGAAGAGGGAACAUACAAGGCAGCUAAAUUUUUGUUAGGCAACCCCAAAACAAUGACAUGGGGUGGGGGGGUGGUCUAGUAAACAGACCCCUGCUGGACACCUUCCCAUCUACCAUACUCAAUUCAGAGUAGGCUGAUGUGAAUAUGUAAAGAUUUCUUUCCAGGAGUGGGUUUUUCCAUUUGAAUCUCUUAAGGCAGGUAAGGGGGGGAGGGUCAAAGGUUCUUUCUGAAUCUUCUGUUUCUUAAUAACCAAAAAAGUCAAUAUCUCAAACGGCAAAACUUUGGGCCCCUUUCACCACCAAUCAUUUGAAGGAAUUUUCUAUUAGAUGUAAUUCAUUUUCCAAAGUCAUGCUCUCAUUAAAUAACUUUAAUGAACCUGCUGUGAAAAAUCAACAUUUGAAAAGGAAUGACAAAUUCAACUUAUUAAAUUGUGUAAUAGAUUGCUACUUAUGAGAGAAGCUUUGGUGACAUUCAUUCAACAAAUAUUUAAGAAACAUUUACUAUGCACCAGCACUCCUUUUGGCAUUGAUAUAAUUCAAAAAGAAAAUGUACUCUAUACCAGGAAGUAAAUAAAGAAUUUCAUUUCAGCUAGUCACAACGUCUAUGAGUAUAAAAAAUAUAUUAAAAUAAUAGAAUGCAAUCCAGGAGUUGCUAUACUACAUGGUCAGAGAAAGCCUUGAGAAGAUUGAUAUCUGAGCUGACACUUGAGAGACAAUAGCAAUGAAAGAAAAAUAUUAUGGAUAAGUGAUAUUUAUUUUAUAAAAAUAAUUUGAAUAAUUUUAUGGCAAAACAGAUACAUGGUCAACACUUAAAAUAUGACAGUACUAUUAUAGGCACUUGAUAUAUAUUAAAUAUUUAAUCCUCACAACAGCACCGUGGGGUAGGUACUCUUAUUUCCCCUAUUUUAUGGAUGAGACUGAAGAACAGAAAUUCAGUCAUUUGCUCAAGUCAUACAAUGAGUAAGGCAGACAGUUUGAUUCCAGAGAGCAAACUGUUAACCAUGAUGCUUAUACUACUUCCUACACAGUCAAGAUAUUUUCAGCCAUUUACAGCAACUUGGAACUACAACAUAGUCAGCUAGUCUGUUUAGGAAAAAAAAUGAAAUGUCUUUUUAUUCUCAGUAAGAUGAAAUUGUCCUGGAUUCCUCCUCCCAUUUCUUCUUAAAUUCCCUUAUGGUCAUGCCUUGCUUAACCACAGGGAAACGUUCUGAGAAAUGCGUUAAGACGAUUCCAUCGUUGUGGGAAGAUCACAGUGCACCGACACAACCUUCUACACACCUAGGCUAUACAGUGUGGCCUAUUGCUCCUGGGUUACAAACCUGUACAGUGUGUUACUGUGCUGAAUGCUGUAGGCCACUGUAACACAAUGGAUAGAUGCAAGGGAACUUCGCAUGAGGCCCGUGGAGAGGCUACGGAACAGCCUUGCGUGAUUCAUCUUGGAAACGGAUCCUCCAGCUGCCGUCCUGGCCAACAUCUCAACCGUAACCUCAUGAAAGACGCUGAGCCAGAAAUACCCAGCUACAUAUGACGCUCUGAAUUCCUGACCCAUAACUAUCCAAUAAUACAUGUUUUUUAAGCCA
Hipposideros armiger (great roundleaf bat) is the source of this 2374-nucleotide long non-coding RNA. RefSeq lists it as uncharacterized. The transcript has 2 exons. The record is from RefSeq and is a predicted model, not a curated record. Lineage: Eukaryota; Metazoa; Chordata; Mammalia; Chiroptera; Hipposideridae.